This 1158-nucleotide ribosomal RNA is filed under the name uncultured bacterium. RNAcentral's name for it is "bacterial SSU rRNA". It matches the Rfam family "Bacterial small subunit ribosomal RNA", at positions 219 to 1381 of the family's 1533-position model. The record is from RNAcentral.
AUCUAGAGGAGCUCGCGGCCUAUCAGCUAGUUGGUGGGGUCACGGCCCACCAAGGCGAUGACGGGUAGCUGGUCUGAGAGGAUGGCCAGCCACAUUGGGACUGAGAUACGGCCCAGACUCCUACGGGAGGCAGCAGUGGGGAAUAUUGCGCAAUGGCCGCAAGGCUGACGCAGCGACGCCGCGUGGGGGAUGAAGCAUUUCGGUGUGUAAACCCCUGUUGCUCGGGACGAACCUCUCCUUUCGAGGAGACUGACGGUACCGGGUGAGGAAGCACCGGCUAACUCCGUGCCAGCAGCCGCGGUAAUACGGAGGGUGCGAGCGUUGUCCGGAAUCACUGGGCGUAAAGGGCGCGUAGGCGGUGACUUAAGCGUGUGGUGAAAGCCCGGGGCUCAACCCCGGGUCUGCCGUGCGAACUGGGUCACUUGAGCACUGUAGAGGCAGGUGGAAUUCCGGGUGUAGCGGUGGAAUGCGUAGAGAUCCGGAAGAACACCAGUGGCGAAGGCGGCCUGCUGGGCAGUAGCUGACGCUGAGGCGCGACAGCGUGGGGAGCAAACAGGAUUAGAUACCCUGGUAGUCCACGCCGUAAACGAUGGGCACUAGGUGCUUGGGGGAACGACCCCCCGAGUGCCGGCGCUAACGCAUUAAGUGCCCCGCCUGGGGAGUACGGCCGCAAGAUUAAAACUCAAAGGAAUUGACGGGGACCCGCACAAGCGGUGGAUGAUGUGGAUUAAUUCGAUGCAACGCGAAAAACCUUACCUACCCUUGACAUGUCCAGAACCCUGCAGAGAUGCGGGGGUGCCCGAAAGGGAAUUGGAACACAGGUGCUGCAUGGCUGUCGUCAGCUCGUGUCGUGAGAUGUUGGGUUAAGUCCCGCAACGAGCGCAACCCUUAUCAUUAGUUGCUACGCAAGGGCACUCUAAUGAGACUGCCGGUGACAAACCGGAGGAAGGUGGGGAUGACGUCAAGUCCUCAUGGCCCUUAUGGGUAGGGCUUCACACGUCAUACAAUGGUCGGUACAGAGGGUUGCCAAGCCGCGAGGUGGAGCCAAUCCCAGAAAGCCGAUCGUAGUCCGGAUUGUUCUCCGCAACUCGAGAGCAUGAAGUCGGAAUCGCUAGUAAUCGCGGAUCAGCAUGUCGCGGUGAAUACGUUCCCGGGUCU